This is a long non-coding RNA of Myotis brandtii (Brandt's bat), 893 nucleotides long. RefSeq lists it as uncharacterized. The transcript has 2 exons. The record is from RefSeq and is a predicted model, not a curated record. Lineage: Eukaryota; Metazoa; Chordata; Mammalia; Chiroptera; Vespertilionidae.
GACUUGUGACUUGGCCCUUUUGCCUGGCAACAGAACACGCUCUGGCAGAGCCAAGGCUGUUGCUCAUUCCCCUCUAGUCCUCAGGUCUGGCUUAGGUAGGACAGCUGUUUUGAUGAACUAAGGAUUAGCCACUCAAUUCUCCUUUAAGGAUUCCUACCAGGGUGUAUAUUUUUCAGCAGUAUGCAUUUAAAGUGAGAAUUAGGGACUCUCAGGAAUUUAAGAAACAGAACAUUUUUCAAACAUAUGAAAGGAGGGCAGAUUCAGAAAACCAUACAUAGUAAAUAUAUAGCUUCGUGAAUUACUCUGAAGCACUCUUGUAACCAUCACCAAGUUAAGAAAUAAGACUGCAAUUUACCCCGGAAGCCCUGUCAUUAUGUCCUACUUGAAUCACAGCCCCUCUCACCCCCUGCUGGUAAGGUGCUCCGUCCUUCCAAGGAAGCUGAGGAGGCCCUCACUUCACCUGGCAACUAGCACCACUCCCGGCAGCGCUCACCCACCCAGCACCCGCCCACACCAAGGCCUCCAUCUCGGAGCUGCAUCUACCCGGCUACUAUCCUGCACGAUGGCCCUUCUCCCGCACGACGACGCGGAGCCAGUGAUGGAGGAUAAGAUCAAUGCCCUCAUCAAAGCAGCUGGAGUAAACGUUGAACCUUUCUGGCCAGGCUUGUUUGCAAAGGCUCUGGCCAAUGUCAACACUGGGAGUCUCAUCUGCAAUGUAGGGGCAGAUGGACCUGCCCCAGCAGAAGAUCCUGCCCCCUCCACCACUGCUGCCCCAGCUGAGGAGGAGAAAGUGGAAGCAAAGAAAGAAGAAUCUAGAGUCUGAUGAUGUCACGGGCUCUGGUCUUUUGACUAAAUUUCUUUUGUAACACAUUCAAUAAAAAACUAAACUUUGA